AACGAACGCUGGCGGCAUGCCUAACACAUGCAAGUCGAACGAGACCUUCGGGUCUAGUGGCGCACGGGUGCGUAACGCGUGGGAACCUGCCCUUAGGUUCGGAAUAACUCCCCGAAAGGGGUGCUAAUACCAGAUAAUGUCUUCGGACCAAAGAUUUAUCGCCUUUGGAUGGGCCCGCGUUGGAUUAGCUAGUUGGUAGGGUAAAAGCCUACCAAGGCGACGAUCCAUAGCUGGUCUGAGAGGAUGAUCAGCCACACUGGGACUGAGACACGGCCCAGACUACUACGGGAGGCAGCAGUGGGGAAUAUUGGACGAUGGGCGAAAGCCUGAUCCAGCAAGGCCGCGUGAGUGAUGAAGGACUUAGGGUUGUAAAGCUCUUUUACCCGGGAUGAUAAUGACAGUACCGGGAGAAUAAGCUCCGGCUAACUCCGUG
This 433-nucleotide ribosomal RNA is filed under the name uncultured bacterium. Its description in RNAcentral is "partial 16S ribosomal RNA". It matches the Rfam family "Bacterial small subunit ribosomal RNA", at positions 29 to 507 of the family's 1533-position model. The record is from RNAcentral.